ACGGGGGCCCGCACAAGCGGUGGAGCAUGUGGUUUAAUUCGACGCAACGCGAAGAACCUUACCUGGACUUGACAUCUGGGAAUCCCUAUGAAAGUAGGGAGUGCCCUUCGGGGAGCCCCAAGACAGGUGCUGCAUGGCUGUCGUCAGCUCGUGUCGUGAGGUGUUGGGUUAAGUCCCGCAACGAGCGCAACCCUUGUCUCUAGUUACCAUCAUUUGGUUGGGGACUCUAGAGAUACUGCCAAGGUUAACUUGGAGGAAGGUGGGGAUGACGUCAAGUCCUCAUGGCCUUUAUGUCCAGGGCUACACACGUGCUACAAUGGACGGUACGGAGGGUCGCAAUAUCGCGAGAUGGAGCCAAUCCCAAAAAGCCGUUCCCAGUUCGGAUUGGAGUCUGCAACUCGACUCCAUGAAGUUGGAAUCGCUAGUAAUCGCGGAUCAGCAUGCCGCGGUGAAUACGUUCCCGGGCCUU
RNAcentral lists this ribosomal RNA (469 nucleotides) under uncultured Desulfobacteraceae bacterium. RNAcentral describes it as "bacterial SSU rRNA". It matches the Rfam family "Bacterial small subunit ribosomal RNA", at positions 913 to 1382 of the family's 1533-position model. Lineage: Bacteria; Pseudomonadati; Thermodesulfobacteriota; Desulfobacteria; Desulfobacterales; Desulfobacteraceae. The record is from RNAcentral.